This is a long non-coding RNA of Leguminivora glycinivorella, 381 nucleotides long. RefSeq lists it as uncharacterized. The transcript has 2 exons. NCBI's taxonomy places the organism in Eukaryota, Metazoa, Arthropoda, Insecta, Lepidoptera, Tortricidae. The record is from RefSeq and is a predicted model, not a curated record.
CCUAAAACUCUCAUAACGUCAGACGACAUGGAGUGACAAAUUUAUUUUAAUUUUUAAUUUUUACUACAAUUAAAUGUGUUAAGUGCCAGUUUUUCCCCAAAUAGGGGAACAAGUCUGGGGUCGUUAACUGGACCCACAAUUUGGAUGCGCGCGCGCCUGCACACGUUCCGGAAGGUUCCGGAAGGAAGACUGGCGGUCCGGAACGGCCUCUGAUGACGGCCACGCCCAGUACGACUUCGGCGGCGUAGUGCAGGGAAGUGACCCCUAACAAGGGCUUGUUUCUUCUUUUAUUGUAACCGGCCAGCUCAGGAAAUACCUACCCACGAUCCUGGAUAAUUAGAUAGGUUUUUUUCAUUUAAAAUAUAGUUUGUAAAAUUUUUC